UCCGCGAUAGCUCAGCGGUAGAGCAGUUGGCUGUUAACCAAUUGGUCGCAGGUUCGAAUCCUGCUCGCGGAGCAA
Molecule: transfer RNA, 75 nt
Filed under: Candidatus Moraniibacteriota bacterium
Lineage: Bacteria; Candidatus Moraniibacteriota
Description: Candidatus Moranbacteria bacterium tRNA-Asn
Rfam family: tRNA
About the family: Transfer RNA (tRNA) molecules are approximately 80 nucleotides in length. Their secondary structure includes four short double-helical elements and three loops (D, anti-codon, and T loops).
Source: RNAcentral